This 246-nucleotide ribosomal RNA is filed under the name uncultured Staphylococcus sp. Its description in RNAcentral is "partial 16S ribosomal RNA". It matches the Rfam family "Bacterial small subunit ribosomal RNA", at positions 288 to 526 of the family's 1533-position model. The record is from RNAcentral. Lineage: Bacteria; Bacillati; Bacillota; Bacilli; Caryophanales; Staphylococcaceae.
CGACAUAAGAAGGUGAUCGACCACACUGGAACUAAGACACGGUCCAGACUCCUACGGGAGGCAGCAGUAGGGAAUCUUCCGCAAUGGGCGAAAGCCUGACGGAGCAACGCCGCGUGAGUGAUGAAGGUCUUCGGAUCGUAAAACUCUGUUGUUAGGGAAGAACAAAUUUGUUAGUAACUGAACAAGUCUUGACGGUACCUAACCAGAAAGCCACGACUAACUACGUGCCAGCAGCCGCGGUAAUAC